GUGUUGGUACAUGGAAUAUUCCUCAACUGCAUAUAUCAUAAAUUGCUAUUGCAAAUAGAAGUAUUAUGUUCAACAAGUGACAUUUUCAGAUAUUAUUUUGACAAACACACUUUGGUGCUUACAAUUCAUUCUCUAAUGUCAUACAUUUGGUGGUCACUGUCAUCUGUGAUCUUUGUGAUAUGCCUUUCUUUAAGCACUUAAUGAUGAAACUGUCACUUCAUAUUUUUUUCUUAGUCUACAAACGCUCUACAUGUAUUCACUCUGUGAGGGUUGGAUCCUAUAUGCUACGUUUAUUAUUGUCCUGUAAAUGGUUCAGUACCUAUAAUUUAGGCUGUGUGGAGAAUGGGGAAUAAAGGAAAUGAUCUCUACUGCUAAAUUACUACUAGAUUAUAGUGAUAAGGAAAACGGCAUACAAAUUUGGCCUGUAUUCAUUUGCCUAUAACUAAUCAGAAUCCCAUUAUGUUUACAUUAUAAAAAAAGAGUACUUCAAAAUGAGAAGAUCCUGAUAUGGAAAAGACGACUGGGUGGACAUAGUGUUAUAUUUUCAAUAAUGAAUGGUUAGCUGUUAUGUGACAAUUGUUGUAGAUGGCCUGUAAAGCUUACAGAUUUAAGUCUAAUAGCAUGAGAUGAAAGGAGACAAAUAUUAGAGUGUGUGAUAUGAAGGCAUAGUCAGUGGACAUUCUGAACCUUGUUUGAGGUCAUUAGGUCACAUGACCAAAGAGCUAUUGAAAUUUUACACUUUGAAAAAUGCAUGUAAAAACGUGUGAUAUUAAAAUGGAGAACAUAAAGGGUGUGCAAUAGAAGGGUAGUCAGUGGACCAAGGAACUAUUGAAAUUCAUGUCCAAAUCGUGAAAAUAACACCUGUGCAAUGUUGUGCGCAAUUCUUCCAAAAUCAUGACACUUAUUUGGAGUCAGUGGCUCAAGUGGUUUGAAAGCGGAAUAUUCGUUGAAUAUCCAAAUUGAAACGGUAUUUAUCUCGGUGUGUAAUGGAGUUAAAAACAUACCUUAAACAACCUCCUCAGAUAGUUUAGUCUUUAUCCAUAGCUCAAACGGUUGGUAUGUUGUCAAGUAGGGCAGUCACGUGUGUUUGAUCAGAAGAUCACUGGUUCGAGCCCAGUAUGGAGAUAGGGACAGUGGAGGAAGUUAUACUGUUACCAGGACACGGACGUCCAUCUCACUCGACAGGGCUACUAGGAGAUAUAGGAGAGGGUACAACAGAAUGCUGAGGGGGCACAAGUUUUAUACACAUGCAAACUCUGUUUUAAACUCUUUUUGUUUUCCAGACCCAUUUCAAUAUCAUGUCUUUAUAGUUGCUCUUGAUAACGGCAUUCUCCGUCUCCGGUUUAGUGCACGCUGUUCCAAGCCGUGGCAGGUCUUUCAAUUCAGUUCGUGUAAUAAUAAAGGAUAAUCAUAGACCACCCUAUUAUUUAAUGUAUCUAUUUCCAUUAUCAUUGGUGUGUAGUAAAAACCCCAACCCACAUGGGAUCGCCACCCGCUGAUAAAAACAGAAAAAGAAUGCGGAAGUAAAACUGGGAGCGGGUUUGUUUUGUUUGUUGCCAUCAUUCUUUCCUCGUGGACGAAGCCAUACUAGCUGAAUACCCAACUCUCAGUCCACUGCAACAUGUCUAAACUCCAGUCGUUUCGUGUGUUUUUAAAUGAGCGUUUAACUGCAGCAGCUGUGGAGAUUUUCGGGGCAGUUGAAGAAACAGUAGCGGAGUACCACGAGGAGAAUGAUCGGCUACGUAGACUGCUGCGGAUCACACCGAUUAUAAAACGAUGUAACGUAGGUUCGUAUGUAGAUCACUAGCAGUUCUGCUCAAUAAAUAAACUGUUUCAGUGAUCACCAUUUCAAUAUGUAAAAAAAAAAACUAUUACCCGUUUCUAAAACCAGAGGCCCAACAUCGCGAGACUUCCAAACGCAGGUUCGUCAGACUAGGGGCCUCUUAACAGUCGCUAACGUUACACAUUACAUAUCUGCGUGCUUCAUUUCUGAAAAGACUGCGCAAUUACACAAAUAGUAAGAUUUAUAAACUUGGCGUACGCCUGUUUGCCAUUAUAAAUCAGCCCCGUCCUGAAACUGCGCGCGUGAAUGAGCAUUAAAACUCUGCCUGAAAAACGUCCAUUCAUCGUUUUAUAACGCGCUCAUUUGCUGUAUACUUUGGAAGAAUUGGAAUUAGGCCAAGGCCGUUUAAAGGAAAUAUAGCAACGGCGGAACGUGAUCAAAUGUCUCUGGAGGUGUUGGCAGACUGUUUAAAACUUUUACAGUAACAUUUGCUAUAUUUUGACCAUUUCUGAAAGAACUACAAUUGAAAAUGGUCGUGGACCUGUAAACGGAUCGUUUGAAUUCAAUAGCCUAAUGAUUUGCGAUUACUUUUCCCCGAACGUAAAUAUUCUGCACUGCCCGCGAAUUCUGAAACAUUAUUUUUGAGUGGACAGACUAGACAAUGUAAAACAUAUAGCCUAUGCCUAGUUACAGUGGAAGGCCCCAUAACCUACACACGUCAAAGUAAAAUAUAAACUCUGUUCAUCGGUUAAAUUCUACCCCCCCUUGGAUACAGGCUAUUAUUUCAAGUAUUUUACUCUAUUAGAUACAAUUUAAAUGAGACGGGCGUGGUCAUUCGCUGUAAACUAAAGCUUCUUCGGGAAUAUGAACGCAUCAUGGCCAGAAAAAGUGGCGUGGGAUAUAUUCUGCAAUGAUUAUGAAAAUAUAUAUUAUGUUUAUAAAUUAAAUAUUGUUUACUUGAGACAAAAUAAAGACAAAAUAAACGAAAAUUGGAAAGAUGACCCUUCUGUUUUUACCAUUAAUGCGCUUCAGAUCACAUAGAGCAAAAUUCUUCAAAUAGUUGAUCUAUUUACUACUGUAAAGUGGUUCCAAUGAAAUGAGGGAUGGGACGUUUGUAGGCCUAUAGGCUACUUCGCGAGUAUGAAACCAUCACAGUCCAAAAACGAAAGAAAUGUAUUCUGCAAUGAUCAUGGAAAUAAAAUGGUAAAUAGAUGCCUAAUUUAUUUCCAGGAUGUAUCACAUCCGGUCGUAAUUGGGAGACCCAUAGGGCGGCGCAUAAUUGGCCCAGCUUCGUCCGGGUUUGGCCGGGUAUAGGCCAUCAUUGUAAAUAAGAAUUUGUUCUUAACUGACUUGCCUAGUUAAAUAAAUAGAAAAUACACUUUACAAUGGAAAGAUGAAGAAAAAAAUGGAUCUCCACUAACAGAAUCUUGUUAUUAUUUUGAAUAAGAGUGCCAUCAUCAGAUUCCCUGCAGCUCUCUGUCUCUGAAGAGGAGGUUCUCCCUGAGCAGCAGCACUGUGAGCAGGAGUGGAGCCCCAGUCUGGGGCAGGAGAACCCAGAACUUCCACAGAUUAAAGAGGAACAGGUGGAACUCAGGACCAGUCAGGAGGAAGAGCAGCUUCAAGGGCUGGAGGCUGAUAUCAUAGAGUUCAAAUUCAUUCCUUCCUGUGUGAAAAGUGAAUGUGAUCAGGAGGACCCACUUCAGUCCUUGACUCUUCCCCAAACCCAGAAUGUGGAGAACAGAGAGCGUGACCCUAAACAAGUGGAACUCACACCUUUUGUUACUGUGACCCACCUUAAGGGCCUCUACAUUCCCUGUGACCCUCAAGAUAAUCAAAACAAUCUACCCAGCCAAAGCUCAACCUUAAGCAGCGACCCAACGGCACUUGACAGCAGCCCAUCGUUGGAUCCCAACCCACCAUUGGAUUCCAGUCCGUCAUUGGAUUCCAGUCCGUCAUUGGAUCCAAACCAGUCAAUGGUGGAACACUGUUUCAAACCCAGCACCAUGUCUAGAAAAACUCACCGCUGCCAUGACUGUGGCGAAAUGUUUGCAAUGAAAGCUGACCUGCAGAGGCAUGUGACUCUAUUUAAGAAGAGGCCCAGUGAAUGUCGCUUCUGCAAAAGAAACUACAACUCCACCUGUAAACUAAAGGCCCAUAUCCGACUCUGUCACAGUGGGAAACCCUACACCUGCCCUGUUUGUGGCAAGACCUUCAAACUCAAAGGGAAUCUGUCCAAGCACAUGAGGAUUCACACAGGAGUGGGAGAGAAACAAUUUAUCUGUGGAGACUGUGGGAAAAGCUUCUAUCAGAAGGGGGACUUAAGUAGGCAUAUACGGACUCACACAGGAGAGAAAUUAUUUAUCUGUGGUGAUUGUGGGAAAAGCUUCAAUUUGAAAGGGAACCUUAGGAAGCACAAACUGACUCACACAGGAGAGAAACCAUUUCUCUGUGAUGACUGUGGGAAAGGCUUCAGUCAGAAGGGGACCCUAAGGAAGCAUAAACUGACUCACACAGGAGAGAAACCAUUUAGCUGUGGAGACUGUGGGAAAAGCUUCAGUCAGAAGGGGACCCUAAGGAAGCAUAAACUGACUCACACAGGAGAGAAACCAUUUAGCUGUGAUGACCGUGGGAGGGGGGGUGAAUGAGCCAAGUGGAAGCUGGGGAUGAUUAGGUGGUGGAGAUGGUAUGAGGGCCAGAUUGGGAAUGUAGUCUCUCUUGCUUUCUGUGUGUGUAAAGCCAAACUGUUUUAAAUGCAUUGGUUUUUUCAGUCACAUUUCAUUAACGUUCUUUAUAAUUGCUGUUCAUAACUGCCUUCUCUGGUUUAGUGCUUGCUGUCCCAUCGGUUCCAAGCAGCUGCCAUUAGUCACGUGUUACAAUGUGUUGUCUUUUAAUUCAGUUCAUGCAAGGAAUGAUCAUCCUAGAUCAGCCUAUUACUUAACACGUGGGAAAACAAUUAUAUCAUAUUUUUACGUUAUAAUUUGUAUGGAGCUUGUAGUAUAACCCCACCCACAUCGGGGCGCUUUGUUAUGUUUAUGGACUAGCCACCCGCUGAUAAAAACGGAAUAAGACAAUACGGAAGAAACUGUGAGCGGAUUGUUUUGUUUGUGCCCACCAUUCUUUCCUCGUGGACGAAGACAUACUAGCUGAAUACCCAACUCUCCGUUGACAGAAACAUGUCUAAACUUCAGUCGUUUCGUGUGUUUUUAAAUGAGCUUUUAACAGCGGCAGCUGUGGAGAUUUUCGAGGCACUUGAGCAAACAGUAGCGGAGUACCACGAGGAAAAUGUUCGACUACGGAGACUGCUGCGGAUCACACCGGAAAUACAACUACGUAGAAUAGGUUCGUGUAUAGAUAUACUGAUAGCUACAGUUCUACUCAAUAAAUAAACCGUUUAGGCUUUCAGUGAUCACAAUUUUACCAUGUUUUAUGAACUAUUACUAGUGAUGGGGAGAACGAGGAUUUAUGAAGCCUUUGGGGCUUUUCACUAAAUUGUGCCUAAAACAAGGCCACAGGUUCUGAUCUGAAAGCCCAGUUUCAACUGUUCUGAGAGGACAGCUUCGGUAUUACAGUUUAACUGAACACCGGCCAAGACAAAUUCCAUAGAUAGAAACCGUGGUGUCAUAUAUUUGUAGGCACUAACUCUGGCAUAGUUAGUUGAAAAAAAGCAGGCGAGAAAAUUGAAUGGGGUUUUGGUCUGUGGUAAACACAGGCUUAGGAGAUAUUAUACGUUUUGUUCUCUGAGAAUCUUCAUCAGCUAAUGUCACUUUUUGUGAAUUUUGAAGAAAUUGUUGUGAAAAAAGUACAAAGCCAUAACUGCAGGAGGUAGGGGUGCUGCAUCACCCCCUGAUUAAUUAACAAAAUAUACUUAUUUCAAUGUAAUUUAUUUCCCACUUAUUAUAUUACUCCCAUGGGCUUUAUUAUUCCUGUGAGCAGACAGAAAAUGACUCCUCAGCAGCACCCUUCCUUUGGCAGCGAUUACAGCUGGAUACAUGUUUUGUAAUAUUCUUUGUUCUCUGUCUAUUGGGUUGUUAUUGUGGAGUAACGACAAUAUAGUUGAUCCAUCCUCAGUUAUCUCCUCUCACAGCCAUUAAACUCAACUGUCUAAAGUCCCCAUGGGCCUCAUGGUGUAGUCCCUGAGCGGUUUCCUUCCUCUCCGGCAAAUUACUUUGAAAGGACGCCUGUAUCUUUGUAGUGUCUAGGUGUAUUGAUGCCCCAUCCAAAGUAAUUCAUAUCUUCACCAUGCUUAAAGGGAUAUUCAAUGUCUGUUUUUAUUUUACCCAUCUACCAAUAGGUGCCUUUCUUUGCGAGGCAUUGGAAAACCUCCCUGGUCUUUGUGGUUGAAUCUGUGUUUUAAAUGUACUGGCCGACUGAUGGACCUUACAGAUCAUUGUAUGUGUGGGGUACAGAGAUGACGUAGUCAUAAAAUAUAUUGAACACA
Oncorhynchus kisutch (coho salmon) is the source of this 6221-nucleotide RNA transcript. It is a transcript of the gene named zinc finger protein OZF-like, with no coding region annotated. The transcript has 2 exons. NCBI's taxonomy places the organism in Eukaryota, Metazoa, Chordata, Actinopteri, Salmoniformes, Salmonidae. The record is from RefSeq and is a predicted model, not a curated record.